RNAcentral lists this ribosomal RNA (1158 nucleotides) under Triticum aestivum (bread wheat). RNAcentral's name for it is "partial small subunit ribosomal RNA". The record is from RNAcentral. Lineage: Eukaryota; Viridiplantae; Streptophyta; Magnoliopsida; Poales; Poaceae.
AUGCGCAUACGGCCGCCGGUUGCAAGCCAUCUGAGAAACUUGAUCACUGAGUUCGAGGAGAUUCAACUUGAAGCUCCUAAUGGCCGCGUGUACCCUGUUAAAAUCGGUUGGGAGUUUGGUGACAUUGUUCUUAGGUCUGGAUGGCACGACUUUGUCAAGGUGCAUCACAUAGAACAAAACUCCUCCAUCCGGUUCGUGUACCGUGGGAACUCCAGCUUCGAGUUCGAGGUUCACAUAUCCGAUUCACCCGGUCACGGCAACUCUUCCCCACCACCUCCUCGUGAUCGUCAUGUGCUGAAUGAACAAGUGGUGCCUGAUCCUGCACACGUUCAGACAUCAAUCAACAUUGACUAUACCAGGCUAAGCCAUGAACAAGACAAGAAAGUGCUAGAACUAGCUCAGAGCAGCAUGAGGUCUGAAUCUCGUCUGCAUGUGGCAACUGUGAACAAAGCAAAUGCCAAACAGGACUGCCAUGUUUACAUACCGUUGACUCUUUUGGACAUUUUCAAAGAGGGAAUAACUGAAGCUCCCAUUCAGCUCAAAGCCCAUAGCAAUGACAUGUUGUACGUUGUUGGCUCAAGCAAGCAUGGCGCCGAUCAAAUAAUCCUCCAAUCUGAGUUGAGUCGUUUUCUAGAUUGUCACCGCAUGCAAGACGAUGACCUCCUCGUCUUCAGAAGCAAGGGGAAAGCCCAGCUCGAAGUUCUUGUCCUUGACCCGAGUGGUUGUGAGAAACCUUGUUUUGAUAUGGGAAACUCUUCAAACGCCAGAGAAGGCCGUCGUGCACAAGCUCAGAACAUGGCUUCAACAUCCUUCCGUUGGGCUAAAUCAGGACUCCAAGCUCGCGAGUCUAAUGAAGCCGGUUUAGAAGCUCCUAGGUCCAACAAUUACAUAUCAAUCGGGCCCCCUCUACAUAGCCAACAGGAAGCCAAAGUCGAAGAGAGAGUUCGGGCAAUUGGUUCCGAAUGUCCUGUGUUUGUGAAAGUGAUCACCUCCAGUGAUGUUGCUACCGCUCCUUCUCUGUACUUGGGCAAUGAAUAUGCUUCAGCAUGCCUCCUGACCCAGCCAGGACGUCUCCACCUCCUGCUGGAGGGCGACGAGAGGGAUUGGGACUGCAAGUUGAGCUUCAGGAAAACUAACAAAACUUGGUGGAUUGACUGA